UCAUCCUCAUCAGUAUCCCCACUCAAGAAAGGGCAUCACUCCCAUAGGAGAUUUCCAGACCAACCGUCCUAAGGUCCAAGGUUACUGCUAAGAAGGCAGUUGUGUACAAGGCUUGCCUGACUGACAUCUUUGGUUUGAAGAGGUGGAUUGCUGACCAGAGCUCUAACAUCGGGCCGAUCUUGAGCCAGCUUUGGCCUUCUCUGCACGCCUAAACCAUUUAUCAAAAUGUUUAUCACCAUUCUCCAUGGAGAUCAUGAAAAGACCUUAUUUAAUUCUCACUGCAAAGUAGAGGCGCUAUUGAGCAGUAUUAAGCAGUGCUGUGGCUGUGAGCCUGAAGAGAUGAUUGAACUGGCAGACGAGAGUGGUCAGUUGAAAAACCUUCUCCAGUACCCUCAACUCUAUGCAUCUGAACUGCUGAAGCCCCGAGAAACCUAUAUCCCUUUCUCUGUAAAACGACCUGAAGGUUCAUCAGAGCCAGUCUUUGUGGCUCUACUAAAAGAUGAAGUUAUUGACUCUAAAUUACUAGCUACCCUGAGGCUUGCAAGAAACUCCAACUCCACAGUGUCUGAGAAGCAACCAAAACCUGGGAAGACCAAGAGAAAAACUGUGACUUCUGAAGCUCGGAGCCAAAAGGUGAGUAUCUAACUGAAGGUCCCAGAUGGCCUUUCACUUUUCCUGCCACUAACACAUGUCAAAUCUGUCUUUGCUUCUGUUUCAGGCAAACUGAGAACCUUCCCAUGGAGCAACAGGAGGCAGGAUGGGACCUAGGGAUAUGUGCUGGAUUCAGAGUUGGGGGACAUGGGUUUGAAUCCUGGCCCUGCCACAGAUGACCUUUGUGACUUUGAACAAGUCCCUUUACCCCCUCUGGGGCUCAGUUUCCUCAUCUAUAAAAUGAAGGGGAUGGAUAAAAGAUCUCUAAGAUCCCAUCAGGCUUUAAUUCUAUGAAAUUAGAGCAGAAUCAUAUCCAUAUCAUGUCCUUUAUAUGGGAUGGGAGGACACUGUGAAAGGGCAUUAUGGCAAAAUAUCUGCUUUAGCUGCUAGUAAAACAUUUCCACAAUCUGUAAUAAAUAUCAUAUGCAUACACUACUGAGCUAGAAA
This 1098-nucleotide long non-coding RNA is filed under the name Phascolarctos cinereus (koala). Its description in RNAcentral is "lncRNA (ENSPCIG00000031299.1)". Lineage: Eukaryota; Metazoa; Chordata; Mammalia; Diprotodontia; Phascolarctidae. The record is from RNAcentral.